RNAcentral lists this ribosomal RNA (303 nucleotides) under unidentified. RNAcentral's name for it is "Pyrtaula sp. NB-2020 partial 12S ribosomal RNA". The record is from RNAcentral.
GGCGGUAUUUUAAUCUAUUCAGAGGAACCUGUUUUAUAAUUGAUAAUCCACGUUGUAUCUUACUUAAUUUUUUAAAAUUUGUAUAUCGUUGUCAUAAGAAAAUCUUAAAAAAGAAAUAAUUUUCUAAUUUAUAAUUAGUUUCAUAAUAAAAUAAUUAUGUCAGAUCAAGGUGCAGUUUAUAAUUAAGAAAAAAUGGGUUACAAUUAAUUUAUUAAUAUGGAUUAUAAACUUAAAUUUUUAUAUGAAAAAGGAUUUGAUAGUAAAUUUUUAAGAUUAUAAAAUUGAUAUAGUUCUAAAAUAUGU